RNAcentral lists this ribosomal RNA (253 nucleotides) under uncultured bacterium. RNAcentral's name for it is "partial 16S ribosomal RNA". It matches the Rfam family "Bacterial small subunit ribosomal RNA", at positions 524 to 776 of the family's 1533-position model. The record is from RNAcentral.
GACGAACCGUGCGAACGUUGUUCGGAAUCACUGGGCUUAAAGGGCGCGUAGGCGGGUCACCAAGUCCGGGGUGAAAUCUUUCGGCUCAACCGGAAAAUAGCCUUGGAUACUGGUGGUCUCGAGGGAGGUAGGGGCAUGUGGAACUUCCGGUGGAGCGGUGAAAUGCGUAGAUAUCGGGAGGAACACCAGUAGCGAAGGCGGCUCGCUGGGCCAUUCCUGACGCUGAGACGCGAAAGCUAGGGGAGCGAACAGG